This 200-nucleotide long non-coding RNA is filed under the name Lathyrus oleraceus (garden pea). RNAcentral's name for it is "Pisum sativum (pea) long non-coding RNA (PSAT_LNC042030)". Lineage: Eukaryota; Viridiplantae; Streptophyta; Magnoliopsida; Fabales; Fabaceae. The record is from RNAcentral.
CUCAAUGCAAAUUGCUUAUCAAGCAAAGCAACGCAAAGUUCACAAGGAACUAAUAGCAACUAAAGUACCUGAAAUCAGUCAAACACAAUUAGUAUACCAGACACAAAGUUAAAACAAACAGCAUAAGCCAAUAGACAAUACAGUCAAGCAUAUGUGCAAAGCACAAGCUCAUAACAAGUGAGCUAAGAAACCUACAAAAC